AAUGAAUGAUGACAAAAUGUUUUGGUCCCAAAUGAUACAUACUGAUUAUACUGUUAGAUUUAUUUCUGACAUU
Small nucleolar RNA from Lynx canadensis (Canada lynx), 73 nucleotides. Its record names the gene SNORD73. It matches the Rfam family "Small nucleolar RNA SNORD73". From Rfam's summary of the family: U73 is a member of the C/D class of snoRNA which contain the C (UGAUGA) and D (CUGA) box motifs. U73 is encoded within the introns of ribosomal protein S3a and contains a 12nt region of complementarity to a conserved sequence in 28S ribosomal RNA. The record is from Ensembl. NCBI's taxonomy places the organism in Eukaryota, Metazoa, Chordata, Mammalia, Carnivora, Felidae.